GACGGCUUAGCAAAGUGGUUACUGCGAUUGAUUCGAAUUACUCGUCUAUCAAUUCCUCUCUGAGGGCGUAGGUUCGAGUCCUACAGUCGUCG
Clavulina sp. PMI_390 is the source of this 92-nucleotide non-coding RNA. NCBI's taxonomy places the organism in Eukaryota, Fungi, Basidiomycota, Agaricomycetes, Cantharellales, Hydnaceae. The record is from the annotation of a GenBank genome assembly.